This 4226-nucleotide long non-coding RNA is filed under the name Musa acuminata (dwarf banana). RNAcentral's name for it is "long non-coding RNA (MACU_LNC000859)". Lineage: Eukaryota; Viridiplantae; Streptophyta; Magnoliopsida; Zingiberales; Musaceae. The record is from RNAcentral.
GGACAAGUUAAAAAUAUAGUUAGCCAAAACACAUGAUGAUGGCAGUAGUUCCACUAAAAGAACAGUAAUAUUUUGCCCUAGCACUAAUAAUGUUCAAAAUUCGGUACUGGAAAAAAAUCUGAACUUUCCUUCAAAGAUUUUUAACACCAUGGAAUGCAAUUUCAGCUGAAACCAGUUUUACCAGUCUGACUGCUGCCCAGUUCAUGAACCAGGUCCAUUUCGGCCAAAAGUAGCCUAGUAUAAGGCAUACCAGGCAGUACACUUAAAGACCAGGUGGAGGUCAAAUUUCGACCAUUACCUAUAGGUGACGGUCAAUUUGACUGUUGGUUACCUUUUGGAGUUUAUUUAAGCCUCCCUCUGGGCUGACUCCUCUCCCCCAUUCUCACCCUCACUCACUCUCUUGGUUUUUUGUAUAAGCGUGGUUAAGCGCACUAAUUACCUCACAAACAGAUUAGGGAAGGUUUAUUUGGAUGAGGGAUUCAAUCUUCUAUUCCGUCAAACUUUUCUUUAAACCAAGGUAACCCAUACCCUAUUUUUCUAAGUUAAUUUCAUUUAAUUAGCUUCAAGACAAUAUGUAUCUUUGCAUGAUUAGGCAUUUAAGGACUAAAUGUGUAGUAGUCCAUGCAUACCUAAUUAACCCCUUCUUCAUCCAUGUAACGUUAACCCAACUAAGGGCUUAUUAUUUCAUGUACAACUAAUUAAGGCCUAAUAAGAGUUUGAGCUAAUUAAGGGAUCUGAAUGAAUCUCACCAAGACUCAUUUGGAUGAAGUCAUAAAUAUUAGUAGUGGUGCAAUUAUGAAUUAGUUUAAGCUUUGUUAUGUUUUUUUUUCCUAAGAAAAAUUAUCAAAGAGCAACAAUCUUACAGUCCAGCAUGAACACAUGCAGGUCGUUUAGAGCACCACCAUCAUUGGCAGUACAUUGAUUAGGGAAGAAGCCUAUCAUGUCUAACAUAACAUCUGGCUGGGAUUUCCAUUGUCAUGAAAUGCACAACAGUUCUGAUGGAGAUAAGUGCUUUCCGAGAAGAACUUAAAGCCCAAAAAGCACUAAAUUUGCACAAGAAGACCAUCUGGGAGGAAUUUGAUAGGCGUGCAACCAAAAAACCGAUCUAUCAUAAGUACGAAGCAUCACUGCGAUGAUGUCGACCCUAAGUUAGAAGUCAUCAUGUGUUUUCUUGAGGUAUCAAUACAUAUACAAAAAUGCAAUGAAACAUCGAUCGAGCGAUUCCUAGUACGAGUAUUACAGUGGCAGCGGUAUUGGAAGUGGACCAAAUUAACACAUGCGCACUCAUCAAACAAUCAGUCUAGAUGGUAGGUGACACUAGCGUGUCCAAUGUUCAACUGGCUUGCUAAGGCAAAGGAGAUGGCAAGACAACAAAUUGAUCCUUUGGACAUGAUUGAUGAGCAACUGCUUCAGUCCGAUGAUGAGUCCCAUAUAUCAUAUGACACAGAACCUUAACUAUAGUGCCCUCUAACCUCCAUGCCACAUUGUUCUUGUUGAUGCCAUGGGAGUAGUUCCAUGCAUGAGUACCAUGUCGACAUACAAUUUCAACAUAUUGAGGACCCCAAUCCACCGAUCAAGGACUCGCAUCAUUAGUUUGAUGGAAGAACAUACAUACAUACAUACAUACAUACAUACAUCGAUGUGUGAUAUGGUUCUUCUUUGAUGGGUCCAUAAAGAUACGGAUUUCUGCCUUUGAUGCUUAACCAAUAUAUAUUUUGAUUUUGUAUUCUAUUGUUUUAUAGAUUAUAUUUACCUUAUUGUUAUUUAAAUUGAUUAUUCAAUCCAAGAAAGGGGUGAAACAAUCAUGAAACAAGUUUUUCAAAAAAUAAUUCUAGCUGAUUUUUUAUCUUUUUGUAAACCAUUAUUUACCGGUGUACCAAGUGUCAUUGGUCCAUAAUUCCCCAACAAGGGUUAUAUCACUAGUCAAAAUAAAAUAGCCUCAAGUAUAUUUCUAUUAUUUAUAAUGAAGUUUCCCUUAUGUCUCCCUUUGUCUCACCUCAUAUCACUAAUCUCAAGUGAUUCAAUCAUCUAGCUACGACAUCUAUAGGUUUCUUUUGGACAUUUCCAUAUUUUUUUGGAAUAGUCUGCCUUCAUUUUAUCUUUUAUCAAAGAUAAACCUCAUUGUUCACUAAUGCAUAUAUGUUUCAAUCUAUAUUUACGAAUAACCCCACGCAUCCAUCUCGACAUCCUCGUAUCAACAAUACAAACAUUAAGCAUCUUUUUCCAAUGACAUUACAUGAAAACUUCUAACAAGGAAAAUACUCCGUAGAAUUACUCAAAUGAAAAGUAUAAGCUUGAUUUUCUCAUACAUUUGCAUAUAAAAGUACAUGUUUGUUUUUCACCUUUGACCAAUUCUUACAACAACAAUCUGUAAUGUCCCAACAAGUUGGAGUCAACUAUAAGAUUUUCUUUUUCAUUAUUGAGCGCUAUUUGAACCUAUAUCACUAGUCAAAUGAAGAGCAGUCAUUAUUGUUUUGUUGUUUCCCAAAAAAAAAAUUUCUUAGAUCUCUCUACCUCGUCUUGUACCAAUAUUCUCAGUUGACUCCCAUAGUCCAACUGAAACAUUUGUAUGUCUUCUCCAGCCCAAUAUCCACAUCUUAGCAACACUAGCUUGAUAUAUAUGUUGUUUUCUAAAUUCUAACUGCCCAAUAUUUGGAUCCAUUACUCAUCACUAGCCUUAUAAUUGUCUUAGAAAGUUUCCUUUUUAAUCUAAGGGGCAUGUGACAAUCACCUCUAUGGCCAUCCAUUGCUUACAAGACAAAAAAAAAACAAGUAUUUUAUUGAACUUUCUUUGAUACUGAGGGUUUAAAUAUAGAGUGACAAAAAAGACACCUAUUAUGUUAUUAUACAAGGUUGAUCGGAUAAUUAAUCUACGACAUUAAGAGCUUCUCUCAGAAUCCAUAUAGCACACAUUUCUAAAUAGUACAUAUUAUAAUGCUAUGUAGAUGUGGUGGAAGCUAGAAAGCCGAGAAAGUAGAUUCGGUAACAAAAUUCUCCAAGUCACAAAAGCUGAAAUGACAAAAAUCUGAGUAAAAUUGCACAAAAAUAUGCACCAGGCACAAGUCAUCCAUGAAUAAGGAUGAAUUUGCCAGUCUCGAGGAAUUAGGAAGACAAAAUAAAAAGGAAGCCAGACAGCAAGAAUGAUAUGAAAAGAUAUUUGGCAGUUAAUAUAAAAAAAUUAGAUAUAAUGGAAAGGGUAAGCGAAAAAAUGAGAUUCAACCAUGGCAUUAAGAUAAUCACUUCUAUUUUUCAUGUCAAAAAAAUGACAAGUAUCAAAAGUCAUUCUAGUUAUUUCUUGGUGUCUCUGAUAAGCAUAUAAGAUCCAAGUAAACAUUUACCUGGAAACUCUUUCUGUAAUCAUAAGAGUUCCAAACUCCAUUUACACUGCCUAGAAGUAUCACAAUGAACAACAAUGGGUUUUGUAAAACAAGCUAUGCUGCAUAAUAACUUUCCUUAAAACAACAAUAGAUGCAUAUAUAGGUUGCAUUUAUGUACUUUAUGUUCUCUUCCCCCUUUCAGAUAAGUAGAAUCUGUGGAUGAUGCGAAACCAUCGGCACAUGUUAGUCAGGAUUUCCUUUUCAGGAUUCAAGAAAUACUUAGCAUAGGCCAAACAUAUAUAGAUCAUACCAGGGGGUUCAUCACUCAAUAAGGAAACUUCAUUAACUAUACAUGGUAAAGAAACAUAGCAGAUCAGAAAAAGAAAAUUCUUUCAUGUAAAGCAUUGCAAAAGUCUUAGAAACUGGCUUGGCAUUUUCAUCUCUAGAUUUUUUUGCCAUUCUUGUAAAGCGCCAUGUCCAUCAUUAAUCACUUACGUAACCACUAGCCUUCUAAGAAAAUACUAUUGUAUGUUCACAUUUCCUUCUAUGGAUGUACUAGUAGCCUUUUCUUCAAUUUCUCAAAAGGGUGCCUCGAGUCCCAAAUCCAUUUAUCUACAAACUCCAUCUUGGAAGUCCUAACAGUAAUGCCAUUGAAGUAGCUUCUUCUCUUCAUUAUUAAGGAAUAAAAGCAUUCGGUAAAACAAAUACCAAAAAGAUGAAGAAGACUACUUGUAGACACCAAGCUUUAUGGCUUCUGCUAAAUCACUUAAGCCACGAGAUGACUUUAAGAUCAUCAGUGGAACCAUAAUUAUGGACAAUAUACAAAUUAGUGAAUAUUUCUAGUGUUUAAUACAAAACAAAAGAAAUUCCUAUGAACUAGUUUUGUACAUGGCAACUAUUAGUCUUUCA